GUUGUAUGGUUAAGUGACUAAGCGUACACGGUGGAUGCCUUGGCAGUCAGAGGCGAUGAAGGACGUAGUAACUUGCGAUAAGCCCAGAUUAGGUAGUAACAACCAUUUGAGUCUGGGAUUUCCGAAUGGGGAAACCCACUUACAUAAGUAAGUAUCAUUAACUGAAUACAUAGGUUAAUGAGGCGAACCGGGGGAACUGAAACAUCUAAGUACCCCGAGGAAAAGAAAUCAACCGAGAUUCCGAAAGUAGCGGCGAGCGAAAUUGGACUAGCCCUUAAGCUUUACACGCGUUAGACGAACGGUCUGGAAAGUCCGACGAUACAGGGUGAUAGUCCCGUAGUUGACGACGUGUGUUCAGUGAAAUCGAGUAGGGCGGGACACGUGAUAUCCUGUCUGAAUAUGGGGGGACCAUCCUCCAAGGCUAAAUACUACUGACUGACCGAUAGUGAACCAGUACCGUGAGGGAAAGGCGAAAAGAACCCCUGUGAGGGGAGUGAAAUAGAACCUGAAACCGUGUACGUACAAGCAGUAGGAGCAGGCUUUGUCCUGUGACUGCGUACCUUUUGUAUAAUGGGUCAGCGACUUAUAUUCAGUGGCAAGGUUAACCAUCUAGGGGAGCCGUAGGGAAACCGAGUCUUAACUGGGCGUUCAGUCUCUGGAUAUAGACCCGAAACCAGGUGAUCUAGCCAUGGGCAGGUUGAAGGUUGAGUAACAUCAACUGGAGGACCGAACCGACUAAUGUUGAAAAAUUAGCGGAUGACUUGUGGCUAGGGGUGAAAGGCCAAUCAAACCUGGAGAUAGCUGGUUCUCCCCGAAAGCUAUUUAGGUAGCGCCUCGGACGAAUACUACUGGGGGUAGAGCACUGUUAAGGCUAGGGGGUCAUCCCGACUUACCAACCCUUUGCAAACUCCGAAUACCAGUAAGUACUAUCCGGGAGACACACGGCGGGUGCUAACGUCCGUCGUGGAGAGGGAAACAACCCAGACCGCCAGCUAAGGUCCCAAAUUACUACUAAGUGGGAAACGAUGUGGGAAGGCUCAGACAGCCAGGAUGUUGGCUUAGAAGCAGCCAUCAUUUAAAGAAAGCGUAAUAGCUCACUGGUCGAGUCGGCCUGCGCGGAAGAUGUAACGGGGCUAAGUAGUAAACCGAAGCUGCGGCAAUAUACUUUUGUAUAUUGGGUAGGGGAGCGUUCUGUAAGCGGUUGAAGGUGUGUGGUAACGCAUGCUGGACGUAUCAGAAGUGCGAAUGCUGACAUGAGUAACGAUAAAGGGGGUGAAAAACCUCCUCGCCGGAAGACCAAGGGUUCCUGUCCAACGUUAAUCGGGGCAGGGUAAGUCGACCCCUAAGGCGAGGCCGAAAGGCGUAGUCGAUGGGAAACGGGUUAAUAUUCCCGUACUUCUUACAAUUGCGAUGGGGGGACGGAGAAGGCUAGGUGGGCCUGGCGACGGUUGUCCAGGUUCAAGUGCGUAGGCUUGAGAGUUAGGUAAAUCCGGCUCUUUUUAAGGCUGAGACACGACGUCGAGCACCUACGGGUGUGAAGUCAUUGAUGCCAUGCUUCCAGGAAAAGCCUCUAAGCUUCAGAUUGUAAGGAAUCGUACCCCAAACCGACACAGGUGGUCGGGUAGAGAAUACCAAGGCGCUUGAGAGAACUCGGGUGAAGGAACUAGGCAAAAUGGUACCGUAACUUCGGGAGAAGGUACGCUCUUGAUGGUGAAGUCCCUUGCGGAUGGAGCUGACGAGAGUCGCAGAUACCAGGUGGCUGCAACUGUUUAUUAAAAACACAGCACUGUGCAAAAUCGUAAGAUGACGUAUACGGUGUGACGCCUGCCCGGUGCCGGAAGGUUAAUUGAUGGGGUUAGACUUCGGUCGAAGCUCUUGAUCGAAGCCCCGGUAAACGGCGGCCGUAACUAUAACGGUCCUAAGGUAGCGAAAUUCCUUGUCGGGUAAGUUCCGACCUGCACGAAUGGCGUAAUGAUGGCCACGCUGUCUCCACCCGAGACUCAGUGAAAUUGAAAUCGCUGUGAAGAUGCAGUGUACCCGCGGCUAGACGGAAAGACCCCGUGAACCUUUACUACAGCUUGGCACUGAACAUUGACCCUACAUGUGUAGGAUAGGUGGGAGGCUUUGAAGCACGUACGCCAGUAUGUGUGGAGCCGUCCUUGAAAUACCACCCUUGUAGUGUUGAUGUUCUAACGUCGACCCCUUAUCGGGGUUGCGGACAGUGCCUGGUGGGUAGUUUGACUGGGGCGGUCUCCUCCCAAAGAGUAACGGAGGAGCACGAAGGUGGGCUAAUCACGGUUGGACAUCGUGAGGUUAGUGCAAUGGCAUAAGCCCGCUUGACUGCGAGAAUGACAAUUCGAGCAGGUGCGAAAGCAGGUCAUAGUGAUCCGGUGGUUCUGAAUGGAAGGGCCAUCGCUCAACGGAUAAAAGGUACUCCGGGGAUAACAGGCUGAUACCGCCCAAGAGUUCAUAUCGACGGCGGUGUUUGGCACCUCGAUGUCGGCUCAUCACAUCCUGGGGCUGAAGUCGGUCCCAAGGGUAUGGCUGUUCGCCAUUUAAAGUGGUACGCGAGCUGGGUUUAGAACGUCGUGAGACAGUUCGGUCCCUAUCUGCCGUGGGCGUUGGAAGAUUGAAGGGGGCUGCUCCUAGUACGAGAGGACCGGAGUGGACGAACCUCUGGUGUUCGGGUUGUGUCGCCAGACGCAUUGCCCGGUAGCUAAGUUCGGAAUCGAUAACCGCUGAAAGCAUCUAAGCGGGAAGCGAGCCCUGAGAUGAGUCUUCCCUGAUACUUUAAGUAUCCUAAAGGGUUGUCGGAGACUACGACGUUGAUAGGUCAGGUGUGUAAGUGCUGUGAGGCAUUGAGCUAACUGAUACUAAUUGCCCGUGAGGCUUAACCAUACAACACCCAAGGGGUUU
RNAcentral lists this ribosomal RNA (2916 nucleotides) under Vibrio parahaemolyticus. Its description in RNAcentral is "23S ribosomal RNA". It matches the Rfam family "Bacterial large subunit ribosomal RNA". Lineage: Bacteria; Pseudomonadati; Pseudomonadota; Gammaproteobacteria; Vibrionales; Vibrionaceae. The record is from RNAcentral.